GACGAACGCUGGCGGCGUGCUUAACACAUGCAAGUCGAACGGAAAGGCCCUGCUUUUGUGGGGUGCUCGAGUGGCGAACGGGUGAGUAACACGUGAGUAACCUGCCCUUGACUUUGGGAUAACUUCAGGAAACUGGGGCUAAUACCGGAUAGGAGCUCCCGCUGCAUGGUGGGGGUUGGAAAGUUUCGGCGGUUGGGGAUGGACUCGCGGCUUAUCAGCUUGUUGGUGGGGUAGUGGCUUACCAAGGCUUUGACGGGUCGCCGGCCUGAGAGGGUGACCGGCCACAUUGGGACUGAGAGACGGCCCAGACUCCUACGGGAGGCAGCAGUGGGGAAUAUUGCACAAUGGGCCGAAGCCUGAUGCAGCAACGCCGCGUGCGGGAUGACGGCCUUCGGGUUGUAAACCGCUUCCGCCUGUGACGAAGCGUGAGUGACGGUAAUGAGUAAAGAAGCACCGGCUAACUACGUG
Molecule: ribosomal RNA, 468 nt
Filed under: uncultured bacterium
Lineage: Bacteria
Description: partial 16S ribosomal RNA
Rfam family: Bacterial small subunit ribosomal RNA
Source: RNAcentral